Molecule: long non-coding RNA, 1428 nt
Organism: Marmota monax (woodchuck)
Lineage: Eukaryota; Metazoa; Chordata; Mammalia; Rodentia; Sciuridae
Exons: 5
Source: RefSeq, a predicted model, not a curated record
CUCAGAACUUGCAGUUCCUCUUCCCACUGACCUGUGCUUCCUGCUUCCCACAGACCAGCUAGGAAACUACUGAGCGCCUGUGUUUGAAUGAUGCCCACCUGUGAAUACUGACUCCGGUGUCUUUUUCAGAGUCUAGUUCCCCGGGUUUCUACGGGGCAGCCCUGAGCCCAGCCUGCUCUCAAGGCUAAGUGCUUGACUGUCCCUCGCAGCUUCCCUUAGGACCCCUCCUCUUCCUCCUCAGGUGUGUUACUGAGGCAGGCUGUCAGAGGCACCAGACACAGGCUUCGUUAUACCUGGCUUUUGAUUUUGAAGGUUGUGAGGAACAAAAGCUGGUAAUGUUCCUGUGACACUCAAGAAAACCUUAUUCUCACUCCUGGCUGUAUGAUCACAAGAAAUGAGUUUUCAGAAACUGUUCCAAAGUAUAAGCAGGAAAAAUUCUAAAAGGAAAAGAAGAUGCUUUAACAGAGAGGAAGCACACACUGGAGGUCCUAAGGGAAAGAAAGAAGUCGCCUUUGGGUAAAGCAAGGAUGGGGGCAGCCGUCUGGGGCCACUUUGAAUGUGGCCAGAUCAUUGGAAGUGACCGACAGAGCCUCAACUGACCAGGGAAGGAAAAUACUGGUCACUCAGUGCGACACCCCCCACAGCCCAGCACCUGAGUGUUUAGUCCUGGAACGCGACAAGUGACCAGAUCUACCAGCAUAUGGGAAGACUUGGACACCGCAGCGAGGUCGACCUGGGCUGAGAAGGAAUGUUGGUUCAAUAGUGAACCCUUACCCAGUUUUCGGCGGACACAACAUCUUUGUUUGUAUGUGGUGCUGAGGAUCGAACCCGGGCCGCACGCAUGCCAGCCGAGCGCGCUACCGCUUGAGCCACAUCCCCAGCCCAAAAGAAGAACUUUAAAAAGAAAAAUAAUGACAGUUCUCAAAAAUCUGAACAUGACCUACCAUGUGCCAAGCAGUUCUCCUGGGGUAUACUCAAGAGAACUGGAAACAUGUCCACACAAAAUGUCGCCCAGACACUUGGAGCAGCAGCAUUCACAAUAGUCCACCAGCUGAUGGUCAGAGAGGGGACACAGUCCUGCCACACAGUAAAAAGGUCUCUGCCAUAGACGGGGAUGAAGCGCAGCUGCACACCGUGACCUGGUGGACCUGGAAAACCACAGGACAUAAAAGACCAAAGGGGUCCAAGGCCACUGAAAUGAUCCGAGCAGGCAGAGCCACAGCUACAGGAAGUGACCAGGGCCUCAGAGGUGGGGUCUCACUGUUAGAGUCCUGUGGGUGCUGGCUGUGGUGGCCUGUAGUACCAGCACUUGGGAGGCUGGGGGAGAAGGUGCUUGAGCCCAGGAAUCUGAGGCCUGCCUGGGCAGCACCACGAGAUGCCAUCUAUAAAAAACAAAGCACGCAAAUAAAGAAAGGCACAUGGUUUCUA